RNAcentral lists this ribosomal RNA (253 nucleotides) under uncultured bacterium. RNAcentral's name for it is "partial 16S ribosomal RNA". It matches the Rfam family "Bacterial small subunit ribosomal RNA", at positions 524 to 776 of the family's 1533-position model. The record is from RNAcentral.
UACGAAGGGGGCGAGCGUUGUUCGGAUUUACUGGGCGUAAAGGGCGCUCAGGCUGCUCAUUUUGUCAGGCGUGAAAGCCCCGGGCUUAACCUGGGAACUGCGUUUGAUACGGAUGGGCUAGAGUUCGGGAGAGGAGAGUGGAAUUCCUGGUGUAGCGGUGAAAUGCGCAGAUAUCAGGAAGAACACCCGUGGCGAAAGCGGCUCUCUGGAACGGUACUGACGCUGAGACGCGAAAGCGUGGGGAGCGAACAGG